Long non-coding RNA from Musca vetustissima, 262 nucleotides. RefSeq lists it as uncharacterized. Lineage: Eukaryota; Metazoa; Arthropoda; Insecta; Diptera; Muscidae. The record is from RefSeq and is a predicted model, not a curated record. The transcript has 2 exons.
CACACGAUUCCGCACACAAAAAGGACGAAGCCAAGCGCUAAGAAGGAUCGGCGGCUUUCGACAAUUAUUUGAUUAUGCAAAUAAUUUGUUUUCGUUUUUUGUACUUUGAAAAACUCUAUUAGAAUUCAAACAUUAGACAAUUUUUAUGCCGGCUCGAUGUUCUAAUAGCGUAAUGGAGUAGUGAUGGUGGUGUCCGAUGUCACAAAUGUUUUCAACAUAGCUGGAAACAUCCUCAAAGGGUCUAUCAUCAUCGGAAGGCAAA